Molecule: long non-coding RNA, 418 nt
Organism: Oreochromis niloticus (Nile tilapia)
Lineage: Eukaryota; Metazoa; Chordata; Actinopteri; Cichliformes; Cichlidae
Exons: 3
Source: RefSeq, a predicted model, not a curated record
AGAAGGGGAAGUGGGGGAAGCAAGAGGUUCGGAGUGGAGAGCCAGAGGGCAGCGAGGUAAUUUCCCGAAUUACCUACCAGAGUGUCACAGAUUUGAUACUGGAACAUGAGCAGAGUCUGCACAGAGGAGGAGAGCAUAGGUCCACAGUGGGUGAGUAAUCAGUGCGUGUGUGCGGAAACCAGGAAUAGCCUCGCCUCUGGAAAUACGGAAGCACAAAGCGCACACGCUCACCGAGGAAGAGAAGUAGAGAAAGAUGGAGCAAGAAGAGCAGGGAAUAAAUAGAAAAGAAGAUGACAUUGAUAAAAGAAGAAAUUGGAGACAAGAAGCAUGUGGUUUCCUUACGUACAUUAUGUAACUGCCAGCGUUGUUUUAAAAUUCACUAACCAAGAUCAGUGUCUGUAGUUCAGUACUCAGUGAA